AUUGAACGCUGGCGGCAUGCCUAACACAUGCAAGUCGAACGGAUUAUGGAGCUUGCUUCAUAGAUAGUGGCGGACGGGUGAGUAAUAUGUAGGAAUCUGCCUUGAGGAGGGGGAUAACUUGGGGAAACUCAAGCUAAUACCGCGUAAGUCGGAGACGAGAAAGCAGGGGACCGAAAGGCCUUGCGCCUUAAGAUGAGCCUACAUCGGAUUAGCUAGUUGGUGGGGUAAAGGCCUACCAAGGCGAUGAUCCGUAGCUGGUCUGAGAGGAUGACCAGCCACACGAGGACUGAGACACGGCCCAGACUCCUACGGGAGGCAGCAGUGGGGAAUAUUGGACAAUGGGGGAAACCCUGAUCCAGCAAUGCCGCGUGUGUGAAGAAGGCCUUCGGGUUGUAAAGCACUUUCAGUGGGGAAGAAGGAUGUAUGGUUAAUACCCAUGCAUUUUGACGUUAACCACAGAAGAAGCACCGGCUAACUCUGUGCCAGCCGCCGCGGUAA
Molecule: ribosomal RNA, 498 nt
Filed under: uncultured bacterium
Lineage: Bacteria
Description: partial 16S ribosomal RNA
Rfam family: Bacterial small subunit ribosomal RNA
Source: RNAcentral